GAGAAAUGUUUAGAUUUCUGUGAUUAUUUUUUACGCGGAGUUGUUGAAUAUCAACAACUUAUUACACAGAAUCCAAUUUUUUUAGAGCGAGUUGAAGGAGUAGGUUUUAUUAGCGGAGAAGAAGCAGUAAAUUGGGGCUUAUCGGGACCGAUGUUACGAGCUUCUGGAAUACAAUGGGAUCUUCGUAAAGUAGAUCCUUAUGAGUCUUACAACCAAUUUGAUUGGAAAGUCCAAUGGAAAAAAGAAGGGGAUUCGUUAGCUCGCUAUUUAGUACGAGUUGGUGAAAUGAGGGAAUCCAUCAAAAUAAUUCAACAAGCUGUAGAAAAAAUUCCUGGAGGACCUUAUGAGAAUUUAGAAGUCCGACGCUUUAAGAAAGAAAAGAAUUCUGAAUGGAAUGAUUUUGAGUAUAAAUUUCUUGGUAAAAAACCUUCGCCCAAUUUUGAAUUGUCAAGACAAGAGCUUUAUGUAAGAGUAGAAGCCCCAAAAGGUGAAUUAGGGAUUUAUCUAGUAGGAGAUGAUAGCCUUUUCCCCUGGAGAUGGAAAAUCCGUCCACCCGGGUUUAUUAAUUUGCAAAUUCUUCCUCAGCUAGUUAAAAAAAUGAAAUUGGCUGAUAUCAUGACGAUAUUAGGUAUAUAG
Molecule: ribosomal RNA, 636 nt
Filed under: Triticum aestivum (bread wheat)
Lineage: Eukaryota; Viridiplantae; Streptophyta; Magnoliopsida; Poales; Poaceae
Description: partial small subunit ribosomal RNA
Source: RNAcentral